CCCUUAGAUGUUCUGGGCCGCACGCGUGCUACACUGAACGGUUCAAUGGGUAAGGUAGUGCGAAAGCAUGACCUAAUCUCGAAAUCCGUUCGUGCUGGGGAUAGAAGCCUGCAAUUAUCCUUCUUGAACGAGGAAUACCUUGUAAGCGUGAGUCAUCAUCUCACGCUGAAUACGUCCCUGCCCUUUGUACACACCGCCCGUCGCUCCUACCGAUUGAGUGUUCCGGUGAGGCUUUGGGAGAAUGGCCUCAACAUGAGUUUAUCGUGUUUUGCCGUUUGAACUUAGUCAAACCUUAUCACUUAGAGGAAGGAGAAGUCGUAACA
Molecule: ribosomal RNA, 323 nt
Filed under: uncultured eukaryote
Lineage: Eukaryota
Description: partial 18S ribosomal RNA
Rfam family: Eukaryotic small subunit ribosomal RNA
Source: RNAcentral